Long non-coding RNA from Cuculus canorus (common cuckoo), 885 nucleotides. RefSeq lists it as uncharacterized. NCBI's taxonomy places the organism in Eukaryota, Metazoa, Chordata, Aves, Cuculiformes, Cuculidae. The record is from RefSeq and is a predicted model, not a curated record. The transcript has 7 exons.
GACUGAAAUAAUCAAACGAAGAAGGGGAGAUGGUCCUAGAGCCGGCAGUGGGGCAAAAAUAAAGAAGAAAUCCCCCCCAACAGAUGUUCAUGACACUUGUUCUCUCUGUCUGCUGCCUACAAAGAAACAUUUCUGCAAGCGAUGCCAUUGCCAAACCUGAAAACCAUGGAGGGUGUUGGAUACCCCCAACGGGACCCGCCGUCGUGAGAGAGCAGUAAGUUAUCAGACACAGCGGCUGAAGGGGAAGGUGAAGAUAGCCGCCUUGUCCCAUCAGAACUGGGAGGUGAAGCAGCAAAGCAGACAGGAAGACUGAUUCUGGAAGAUAACACAGCAGCGUGCAACAUGGAGGACAAGAAAGAGCCUUAAAGGAACUCAUCUGAAAUGCUGAACCUCAUUCUAACUUUUCAUUCAUUUAUGCUAAGAAGGUUUUCCACCAAAAAAAGAGUUCAACUUAAAGAGCGAAGCAGGCAGGUGAUUUUUAACCCAGUUCUUCGGACGUAUGCCUGGGUGUGAACGCAGCUGUGAGAUGAUGCAGAACAAAAGCAAACUGCUCUUACGUCUUUAAAAGGUUAUGGGAUUAAUACGAUACACCGUCCCCAGGAAAAAGCGUGCAGUCCUGCAGAAGCUCAUGGUGUCACUGUGGAGAGGAGAUUGCUGAAAGUUUGCCACACUCGGACCAUCCAGCAGCCCAGCAAUGAGGAUCAGCCCAUAGCAUUCAGCCUCCAGAAAGCAUCAUCUCGUGCACGCCUCAAGACCUCUUUCCCUAGAAAACCUUUGGCAACCUUCCAACUAAUAGUCGGCUCCAGAUGGCAUUGCUUACAACUUCUGAGAAGCACGGGAACAGGCAGCGACUGCCUUAUUCUUUCUGUCAAAUAAACAAUACAU